RNA transcript from Choloepus didactylus (southern two-toed sloth), 2045 nucleotides. It is a transcript of the gene named arginine/serine-rich protein 1-like, with no coding region annotated. The record is from RefSeq and is a predicted model, not a curated record. The transcript is spliced from 5 exons. NCBI's taxonomy places the organism in Eukaryota, Metazoa, Chordata, Mammalia, Pilosa, Megalonychidae.
GACAUUAGCUUCUAGUAUUUUCGACCGCGUCUUCGGACGCUUGUGUUCAGUUCGCUUCCGGACGGCAGCAGUCGUGGUUGUGAAGUUUUCUUUGAAGAAGGUGCUUUUCGUCCCAGGCGGCGAAAGGAAGGCGUUUAUUGGAGCGUUUUUUUCGUCUUGAGUGAGGCAUCGACGGCUUGUGUUGUUUUAGGGAAGUGAUUCUUCUCCAAGAAAAGUAAGAAAGCCACAGGCAAAAAUGUCUAACUACGUGAACGACAUGUGGCCCGGCUCCCCGCAGAAGGAUUCCCCUUCCACGUCCGGAUCGGGCCAGUCCUGCCGGCUGUCUUCCUCGCGGUCCAGUAGUCGCUUGUCUUCCAGAAGCGCUCGGUCCGGUUCCCGCGUCUCGAGUCGGUCGUCGUCCCGGAGCCGAAGCCGGCCCCGGAGAAGGAGCAGGUCAAGGUCUCGUUGCAGGAGGCGCCACCAGCGGACAUACAGACGCUACUCGAGGUCUUACUCGCGGAGCCGGUCGCUAUCCCGCAGCCGCCGGCACAGGGAAAGGCACCGCGGGUCCUCCCGGAGGUGUUACGGGUCUCCCUUGCGGUACCGAUCCCGCAGCAGGUCCCGCUCCCGGGGGAGGUCGUGUUAUAGAAGGGCCUACGCGGUCGCGCGGGGGCGACGAUGCUACGGCUUUGGUCGCAGGGUGUACCCGGAAGAAUACGGAAGUAGGAGGGCGAGAUCCAGGACUAGGUCGCGGAGCAGAAGUCCCUUUCGCUUAAGUGAAAAAGAGCGAAUGGAGCUGUUAGAAAUAGCAAAAGCCAAUGCUGCAAAAGCUUUAGGAACAGCCCAUCUUGACUUACCAGCCAGUCUCAGAACUGCUUCUGUAACUAAAGAAAAAAAUUGUGAAACAGCUUCACCAAAUGAUGGUGCAGAGUUCAAGAAAUCUUGAAUGUGGUCUCCAGACAUUGAUGAAGAAAAUCUGUUGGUAAUUGAUACAUGGUGAAAGCAUCAGAGGUUUAAAUGAUUUAAAGUUUAAAUUCAGACACUGACAGCUUAGUUUUUGUUUCAUAGAUCAUAUGCAUGCUAGAAUUUGAGAAUAGGUAUUAAAAACAGUUUUAAACUAACCAAAGGUAUACAGUAAGGGUGGGGCAUCUGUGAAUAUAGAUGUCCCUUUCAUAAUAUAUGCAAUAUGUUCCAGAUGUUUUGAGAGAUUACAGAAGAAGAGGCCUGUUUCACUUGCAGAUAAGUUUAUUAUAAUUUUCUAGCAAUGUGCAGGAUGUGCACUGGCAAGUGUACUUUUAAAUUAUCAUUUGAAAUCCAAAGCUUAAAAAUUCAUAGUCUUACAGGAUUUAAAGUAGUUAGGAGUUGAUAUUCAUAGUUGGAUCUGAUUUUAUGUUUAACUUUAAGGACUUUUUUUUUUUUAAAGUAGCAAAUCAUUAAAGUGUCUGAAUAAAAAAGUAAAAGAAUUAGUUAAUGUGAAACAGGCAAAAUAUGCUCUCUAGAUGAACCUACCACUGUGACCCAUAUGUAGGUUUGCUUAGUGUGGUGGUGAAAUUCAGUGCUGACUAGUAUUAGUAGACAUUCUUAGUUGAGUUGCUUAUUCAGCUGAUGAUUAGUUCAACUUAGAUGCUCAAACUAGCAAAUGCCUUUUAUGUUUGAAGAAAUAAAUUAGAAGCUAGGUGUUUUCUGGUAUGUCUUUACUUUUAAAAGUUAGUAGAAUUUCAACAGGCCUUAAUGAAGCCUAUCAUUAAAUAAGCUUUAUUAAGGGGAAGGUUCAACAGAAUAUUUUAUUUAGGCUGCCAACUAUAUAAUUAGGUACAACUUACUUUAUAUCUACAACUGAAUUUCUAUACUAUUGGGCUGCAUUGACUUUAAGUCAGUAGUUUGUUUUUUAAAAUUUACUCUCCUUAUCUGUCUAGUUGUUGGAAAAACUUACAGAAGAUGGAACUAAAAAUCGCAAUGAAAAAUCUUCCCAGCAAAGAAGCAUAGCUUUCAGUGCUUAUAAUUCUGUAGCAAAGCCAAUAUUUCAGAAAUCGGCUAAAGCUACUGUCGAAGAUACUUCUUCAGGA